RNAcentral lists this small nuclear RNA (168 nucleotides) under Phocoena sinus (vaquita). RNAcentral describes it as "U4 spliceosomal RNA (ENSPSNG00000013847.1)". It matches the Rfam family "U4 spliceosomal RNA". Rfam says of the family: U4 small nuclear RNA (U4 snRNA) is a component of the major U2-dependent spliceosome. The structure of U4 snRNA from yeast and human has been reported. U4 snRNA presents a k-turn RNA motif in the 5p-SL related to recognition of Snu13 protein. Lineage: Eukaryota; Metazoa; Chordata; Mammalia; Artiodactyla; Phocoenidae. The record is from Rfam by way of RNAcentral.
AGCUUUGCGCAGUGGCAGUAUCGUAGCCAAUGAGGUUUAUCCGAGGCGCGAUUAUUGCUAAUUGAAAAAGUGAUUAUAACAUCAAUUUAAAUAGCAUUCUAAGGUUCUAAAUGCACCAAGUUCAUCAUUUAGGAUUGAGAUAAUACUUAUUGGAAUAAUUGUGAUAUU